Molecule: non-coding RNA, 108 nt
Organism: Acanthosepion pharaonis
Lineage: Eukaryota; Metazoa; Mollusca; Cephalopoda; Sepiida; Sepiidae
Source: the annotation of a GenBank genome assembly
ACAGCUAUAUCAUGUUGAAACACCAGUUUUCAUAUGAUCACCAAAGUUAAGCAAUGUUGAGCCUGGUCAGUAAAUGGGUGACUGCUUGGGAAUACCAGGUGCUGUAUG